This is a long non-coding RNA of Panicum virgatum (switchgrass), 379 nucleotides long. RefSeq lists it as uncharacterized. The record is from RefSeq and is a predicted model, not a curated record. NCBI's taxonomy places the organism in Eukaryota, Viridiplantae, Streptophyta, Magnoliopsida, Poales, Poaceae. The transcript has 3 exons.
CAAAUAGCUAGCUGCAUCUACGGAGGGAUUGUUUGCAAGAUUCAGCCAGCAGCUUGGGUAGUAACUCUGAUUUCUUUCCCCUUUUGCUGGCAUAACUGAUGACCCGUGAAGGUUAAGGCUAAAACAAGCUGUAAUAGGUGUGCUUUAAGUGGCAUGUGUUCAUAUUGUGAGAUUAGUUGAAGCCCAACGAUGACCAAUGGGACAAGGUGAAGAUUUAUCUACAUUGAAGCAUUCACAUGGAUGAGGGGCCAUGAUUGUCCUGAGGUUGCUUUUAAACCACUACCGAGCUGCCUUACAUGGAAAGAGAAAACAUUUCUCCAACCUUUUUCCUAUUGUUACCUCAUCUUGCAAAUUUCUUAUCUCUAACUUGAAAUACAAG